AUUUAGUGGACGCAGAGUUUGCAUGAAGUUAUGUUUAAUUUCUGAAGAGCUACUCGAAUCCAGUAGAGAGCUAGAGGACACUCUUCCUUAUAGGAAACAGAUUAUCUUCUGAAACAAGCCAGUAUCCCGAGCCGACCUGAGCAUCAUCAUUCACCCUAAGUGGCCCAAGGUGGACAGCUAACAUGCCUCCUGACUCUGGAGAAGUCACAUCAGGGAGUGAAAUGACUGGAUGCCAGCAAGAGCUCAACCCAUACAGUCCCACUGAAGAGGGUUAAGAAAGAAGAAAAGGGAUGAUUGUGCUCAGAGAGAAAAUCAUUUAAGAACAACUGUUAUGGAGGCUGUACACAACAGUUCGAAGUUGGAUGAAGUCAGGGGCUUGUGCCAUCCAGAAUGGACAGAGAGGAUCCCACCAAAAAAGAGCCAGUCCGUGGUUCUGUCAAGGUCAAUGCCCAGCAACUCGGACUACAGGAGCUUUCUGCAGGAGGGACUUCAGAAUCCCACCCCACCGCCUGAAAAUUCGGAGGAGUAUUUGAUGAGUUCAGCAACAUGUACUCCCAAACCAAAGAGGAAGAGAGGAACUAUUGCGCUGUAUGUGAAGGAACUCUCUAGGCUGCGGUGAUCCUAAACCCCUGCAAUAGAAGAAUCCCUGGCGAUGCUUAUUGAAACUCCGGAUUCCUAGGACCUGCCCGAUUCCUUCUGAAUGGUAAGCUCUGAGGUGGGGACCCAGACUCUAUUUUACCAGGCUCCCCAGCACGGAUGGUACUAGGCGGAGGCUAAUGAGGUGCUUAUGACAUGACCCUGAACUCGUACAAACAACCCAGAGGGUGAGCAUGGCCCCUGUGUUGCGCCCCAUGCCCCUCACUUCCCGGACCCUAGGCCCGGCCCUACUUCCAAGACUUUGGAAUUCUGAGGCACAUUGGUGACACGUUGAACUGUGUCACUUCCAAAAUUCCUGUGUCGGAGUCCUGAUCUCUCAUACCUCAGAACAUGACUGUAUUUCAAGACAGAGCCUUUAAAGGGGUAAUUGAGGUUCAAUGAGGUCAUUAAUCCAACAUGACUGGCCUCCUUAUAAGAGGAGAUUGGGGGACGCCUGGGUGGCUCGGCGGUUGAGCGUCUGCCUUUGGCUCAGGUCAUGAUCCUGGGGCCCAGGAUCGAGUCCCACAUUGGGCUCCCUGCAUGGAGCCUGCUUCUCCCUCUGCCUGUGUCUCUGCCUCUCUCUCUCUCUCUCUCUCUCUCUCUGUCUCUUAUGAAUAAAUAAAUAAAAUCUUUAAUUAAAAAAAAAAGAAGAAGAAAUUCGGAUGCAGACAUGGAGGGAAGACCAGGUGAAGACAAAGAAAGAGGACCACAUCUACAAGGCCAGGGGAGGCCUCAGACUGAAAGCAGCCCUGCUGACACCUUGAUCUCACAGCUUCCAGAACCGUGAGAAAGUAGAAAGUUGCUUAACUCAACCAAGUGUAUGGUAUUCGUCAGGGCAGCUCCUGCAAACUGACACACAGAGGACAUUCGAGAACCACUGGCGAGGCAGUUAAGGGCAUCUGGGCUCUGGCAUCACAAUGCCCCCAUGUGGCUGCAUUCGGGAUGAGGUGAAAUAAUACCCAGUACAGUGUCACAGGAAAAUAGGAAGCACUCGGCAAACGUUAGCUACAAUUACUGUUGUUAAUAAAAUAUAUGAGCUUUAACCAUAUUCUGCGCCAUCUCCUUACAUAGCCAAAGUAUUCAAUCUCACAAAUAUGUACUGAAUGCCAACUUUAUAAGCAAGGCGCCGGGCCAGGCCUCUUGCGGAGUGCAAAGAUGAGAAAUAAGCAGUGCUCAUCCUCAGAAUAUUACGCAGAGCAAAUCCACCCAGAACAAAAUUUGCAAAAUUAUGACACUGACAUCUUCCAUAUUCACCUGCGCCCCAAGGUGCUCAACCUUUUGAUUCCUACAGUGUGUCCCUUCCUUCCCUCAUCCCCAUCUUUUCCAUGUUUAACUAUCUUUUUUUUUUAAGAUUUUAUUUAUUUAUUCUUGAGGGACACAGAGAGAGAGAGAGAG
This 2031-nucleotide long non-coding RNA is filed under the name Canis lupus familiaris (dog). RNAcentral's name for it is "lncRNA (ENSCAFG00000057881.1)". Lineage: Eukaryota; Metazoa; Chordata; Mammalia; Carnivora; Canidae. The record is from RNAcentral.